Molecule: ribosomal RNA, 317 nt
Filed under: Loigolactobacillus coryniformis
Lineage: Bacteria; Bacillati; Bacillota; Bacilli; Lactobacillales; Lactobacillaceae
Description: bacterial SSU rRNA
Rfam family: Bacterial small subunit ribosomal RNA
Source: RNAcentral
ACGAACGCUGGCGGCGUGCCUAAUACAUGCAAGUCGAACGCACUGACGUCGACCGAAGCUGCUUGCAGUGGACGUUGAUUGACGUGAGUGGCGGACGGGUGAGUAACACGUGGGUAACCUACCCUUAAGUGGGGGAUAACAUUUGGAAACAGAUGCUAAUACCGCAUAACCAUUCAGACCACAUGGUCUGAAUGUAAAAGACGGCCUUUGGCUGUCACUUUUGGACGGACCCGCGGCGUAUUAGUUAGUUGGUAAGGUAACGGCUUACCAAGACAAUGAUACGUAGCCGACCUGAGAGGGUAAUCGGCCACAUUGGG